RNAcentral lists this ribosomal RNA (253 nucleotides) under uncultured bacterium. RNAcentral's name for it is "partial 16S ribosomal RNA". It matches the Rfam family "Bacterial small subunit ribosomal RNA", at positions 524 to 776 of the family's 1533-position model. The record is from RNAcentral.
UACGUAGGGGGCAAGCGUUGUCCGGAAUCAUUGGGCGUAAAGAGCGUGUAGGCGGCCUGAUAAGUCUGCCGUGAAAGUCCAGGGCUCAACCCUGGGAUGCCGGUGGAUACUGUCAGGCUGGAGUCCGGAAGAGGCGAGUGGAAUUCCUGGUGUAGCGGUGAAAUGCGCAGAUAUCAGGAGGAACACCGAUGGCGAAGGCAGCUCGCUGGGACGGUACUGACGCUGAGACGCGAAAGCGUGGGGAGCAAACAGG